Molecule: long non-coding RNA, 284 nt
Filed under: Haliotis rufescens (red abalone)
Lineage: Eukaryota; Metazoa; Mollusca; Gastropoda; Lepetellida; Haliotidae
Description: uncharacterized LOC125376001
Source: RNAcentral
GUCAACAAGGCAUGCAAUCGGGACAAACUGUGACAAUUUAACCAUCCCGGUACAUUUAUCGCCAGCGAGUCAACACAAUGAAGUACUAGUAUCCCGUGACGGAUGUCUGGAGGAGCUUUCUGCUGACAGUAACACAAUGGUUACAAUGUGCAUCCUGUCAAAGGACGAGGAAGUGAAAAGCCAUAUUCAUUCAAUCAACAAAUGUGGUUCCUGUCACAUUUCUCUUAAAUAGGACGAGGAACUGAAAAGCCUUAUUCACUCACAAAUCAACAUGGCCAAUAUUU